Molecule: unclassified non-coding RNA, 7261 nt
Filed under: Hevea brasiliensis (rubber tree)
Lineage: Eukaryota; Viridiplantae; Streptophyta; Magnoliopsida; Malpighiales; Euphorbiaceae
Source: RNAcentral
CCAAACCAAUUAUAAGAACUCAGCUCUGCUCCCCUCCGUUCCCUCUUGCUUCAGUCUCCACCUCCCAUCCACCACCUUCUUCUACGGCGUCGUUUCCCUCCCCUUCGCAUUUCCUAUCUCCUCUUUCACGUCUUACCGCUUCCUGAUUUUAUUAGUUUUUUAGUUAAGAGUUUUGUUAAUUGUUCUCGCUAAUGAGAAGACUUCCCUUAGCGAACGUAAAAGUUUUCUGCUUUAAAGACGCAAGAACUGACAAGUUUUAGCAUAGAGUUUCAGCUUUUUUCAUCUCAUAGCAGAGAGAGAGAAAGAGCUGGAGAGUUCUUUUUGUUUUUUGUUUCCUGGGGAGUGUUGACAAAAAACUGCGAUUAAAGCCAUUUUUGUUGGUUUUCACUUCAAACUUCCGUUGAAUUUUGAGUGAUUCCGGAGGUGGGUUUCUCAAUUUUCCCACUAUAAGGUUAGAAAUUUCGAUUUCGCUUCCUUUGGCAAUGCAGUCUCUGAAUUCUGGGGAGAAUAAGGGAUAGUGGUGAACAAGAUGAUGGAAAACAAAAGAAGCCCCUGCUCUGUUGACCAGGCCAGUCUUACUUCUCUUGCAAAUAAACGUCAUAAGGCUGAUCUUUCUAUCUCGACAAAGGUUUUCCCUGCACACCCCUGCACCUUUGCACCUUUUUCCCUUUUUAUACAUCUCUUCUUCUGGAAUACAGUUUUCUCUACAUUUAUUUGUUUUGUUUACUGAAUAUAUGAGUUCAUGAUAACUAUCAAUUUAACUGGGGUGCAUAGCUCAAAUAAAGCCCAUUCCCUAUACAUACAGUAAGAUUCAUGAUCCUUUGGCAUUGUGCUUCUUUAUCAAGCACCCUCUUUUUGGUCCUUGGCAAUCUUUUCUUUUUUCUUUCUUUUUUUUUUCCUUUUCUUCUUUCUAUCUCUGCGUCGCUGGGUAUGGUCAUGACCGUCCAUUAAAACCCUAAUUUUCGUAUCUUUACACUCUUCACUCCACAGAAACAAAAGCUAAAAGGGGGUUUAAUAGUAGGGAUAUAUGUCCCUCAAUCAAUCAAGGUCCGAUAAGAGCGAGUCACAGUAUCUGAAAUCAGGACGAUCCGCAGGCUCUAAUCAGCAGCGGACCUCCUCAGGUGCUUACGGUAAGGGCGGCGGCGGCGGGCCCGCCCCUUCACCGUCUUCUUCUAUUUCUUCCAAUCGGAGUUUUAAGAAGCCUAACAAUGUACAAGGACGGCAAUCAAGGGUACACGUACCAGCUGUCAAUUCUUCCGAUCCUGCUAAUUCUUCUGCGCCCCGACAUGUGCAGAAUGGUGCCCAUGUGCAGCCUCCGUUACCCGGAGCAUCUGAUGCGCAUGUUUCAAUUGGUACUGGCAAGCCAAACGAAAUGCAGAUCACUCAGAGGAGUACCCGAGCUGUUCCUAAGGUUCCAACUUCUCAAUCUCCCACCAUGAAUUCUGAGAAUGCGUCACCUAUGACACCUGCUAAAGGUCCUGCAGAUGCAUCUAAGGCAUUCCCAUUUCAGUUCGGGUCUAUAAGUCCUGGUUUCAUGAAUGGGAUGCAGAUUCCUGCUCGAACAAGCUCAGCUCCUCCUAAUUUGGAUGAGCAGAAACGUGACCAGGCACGCCAUGAUACAUUUAGAUCUGUUCCUCCAUUGCCAACUCCUGCUCCUAAGCAACAAUUACCAAGGAAGGAUGUAGGUGGUGUUGACCAUUCUAGUGCUGGGGAGGCUCAUCCAAUGCCCAAAGCCAAGAAGGAUGUCCAAGUCUCAACUGCACAGCCUGUGAGCCAGACACAAAAGCCGUCUGUUCUUCCCCUUCCUAUGCCUUCCAUGCAAAUGCCAUUUCACCAGCCACCUGUGUCUGUGCAGUUUGGUGGCCCAAAUCCACAGAUGCAGUCACAAGGUCUCACCCCAACAUCACUUCAAAUGCCAAUGCCAAUGGCAGCAUUACCAAUGGGAAGUGCCCCUCAAGUGCAACAGCCAAUGUUUGUUCAAGGUCUUCAACCCCAUCCGAUGCAGCCUCAGGGAAUCAUGCAUCAGGGCCAGGGCUUGAGUUUUCCACCUCAAAUGGGUCCUCAGCUGCCUCCUCAGUUAGGCAACUUAGGAAUUGGGAUCACCUCACAAUAUCCUCAACAACAGGGAGGAAAAUUUGGUGGUCCUCGUAAAACAACAGUUAAGAUAACUGAUCCAAGAACGCAUGAAGAGUUGAGGCUUGAUAAGCGGACAGACACAUAUGUAGAUGGCGGAUCAUCAGCCCUUAGACAUCAUCCUAAUAUGCCUCCUCAAUCCCAGCCAAUUCCGUCAUUUGCACCUACUCAUCCAAUCAAUUACUAUUCAAAUUCUUAUAAUCCAAGUAAUCUAUUUUUUCAACCUUCGAGUUCACUACCGCAUACCAGUGGCCAGAUAGCACCCAAUUCUCAGCCUCCUAGGUUUAAAUAUGUUAGCCAAGGUCCACAAAAUGUAUCAUCCUUGAAUCCACCUUCCCUUAAUUCUCUGCCGGUUAACAAGUCUGGGACUUCAAUGCAUGUGGCAGAACCAUCAAAUGCGGAACAUACUCGCGAUGCACAUAAUGUGAUCUCAUCUGCUUCUUCAGGAACUGUACAGGUGAAAGUGAAACCAACAGCUAGUUUUAUUGGGGAGAAGGUUGUGGAUUCAGUGUCAUCUAAUAGCUCGUCUGCAAUUGAAAAGGUUGGAUAUGUUAAACCUUCAGGGCCCUCCAUGGAAGCUAAUUCAUCUAAUGUACAAAAGGAUUUAGAGAAAGUUCUAGAAAGUUCUUCACUGCAUUCAAAACCUGAUAGUGAAUCUUCAACAUCCAAAUCAUUGCUGGUGGAAUCUAGACAAUCUGCUGCAGUCACUGUUGAUAGUGUGGCACCCAAUUCUUCAUUGCCUGCUGCUCCUGCUCUAUCUGAAGAAUUAAUGCUUGUUGGGAGCAACAGUGAAGGCAAAAGAAAGGAAACUCUGAGUAGGUCAAACUCCAUUAAGGAUCAUCAGAAGAAGCCAGGCAAAAAAGUACAUAACCAGUCCCAGCAACAGAUUGGUGGGCAAUCUAGCUCAAUGUCAGGCUUUUCUUGUCAUAAUGUAGAACGGGGAAUAUCUUCUAACAGCGGAUUGUCUGAUUCUGUAGAAAGUAAAAGAAUUCUUACUUCUUCAUCAGCAACCAGUGAAGGCUUGGCAGAAUUAAGGCAGGAAUCAGUUCCAAUGAUCAGUGCUUCAACUUCUCAAGUGUCUGAAGCCAAAUUUGAUGAUUCUGUAAAUGGUUUUGUUGGUGUUCCUUCCGAAUUUUCUGGUGUUCAAGGUAUUGUUGAUAUUGCAGAUUCUGCUCAUCAAGCUAAGGUAAAUGAUUUUUCCCGACAGGAACAGCUUAAUUAUGGAACUCCAGAAACUGAAGGGCAAGGACAAAAGGGAUUGCCUAAAGGUCCCAAACAAGAUGAUAAUAUUUCAGAGAUUUCUUCAGGAUCUAUUACUUCAAAAUCAGCAGACAUAGUCAAUCAAAGUACGGAGGAAUCUGCUUCAACAGGUACAGAUUUUGGCAAUGAGGUUAUAAACAUAGAGACCAUGCAGGAAGGGCUAGAUGAACCUGUGACUUGCCACAUAGAAAAUAACGGGAUGUCAGAUAACAUGAUUGUUUCUGCAUCCAAAAAUUUGGAAUCUGCAGAUGUUGGAAAGUUCCAUUCUGAUGACAACCUGAUGUCGGAUGAGUCUUCAAGCAAAAGUGAUAAUAUGGGUGGUAAAGAAGUAUCUGUUAUGAAAUCUGGUGCAUCAGAUCAGCAGUGUGCCCCAGUUACAACUUCGGACCUUACUGAGGCAACUUCAAGGCAUGAAGGAGAAGUUGUGGAAAAUAGUGGUGCUGGCUUGGUCUCCCUUGCAGUAUCGAGUUCCAAGGACAAAGCUGUUGACCUGACUAAGACAAAGAGUACCACUGCCAAGCUGAAGAAUAAGAGAAGGGAAUAUCUUCGGAAAGCUGAUGCUGCUGGGACAACUUCUGAUCUUUAUAUGGCAUAUAAAGGUCCAGAAGAAAAGAAAGAAAGUGUUGCUUCUGCAGAAGCAAUGGAAAACACCUCUACUAGCUCUAAUGUGAAGCAGGCACCUGUGGACACACUUGAAGUGGAUUCCAUGACAAGUGAGACAGGCAUCCAGAAUAAAGCUGAGCCGGAUGAUUGGGAAGAUGCUGCUGACAUCUCUACACCAAAACUGGAAACUUCAGAUAAUGGGGAGCAGGCACUUGGUGGGUUAAUGCAACAUGGCAGAAUUGAGAAUGCUAAUACAGCAAAAAAGUAUUCCAGAGACUUCCUUCUGAAAUUUUCUGAGCAAUAUACUGAUCUUCCUGAACAUUUUGAAAUUUCAUCUGAUAUUGCAGAGGCUCUUAGUCUUUCUCAUUUUGUUGAACGGGAUUCAUAUCCUAGUCCUGUAAGAGUCAUUGACAGGUCAAAUAGUGGAUCUCGGAUGGACCGUCGUGGAAGUGGUAUGGCUGAUGAUGAUCGAUGGAGUAAACUACCUGGUCCCUUUGGCAUGGGGAGGGAUUUACGUGUGGAUAUUGGUUUUGGAGGUAAUACUGGAUUUCGACCUGGCCAAGGAGCAAAUUAUGGUGUUCUAAGGAAUCCACGAGCACAGAGUCCUCAAUAUGUGGGAGGUAUCCUAUCCGGGCCUGUGCAGUCAAUGGGUCCUCAGGGAGCUAUGCAAAGAAAUAGCCCAGAUGCUGAUAGAUGGCAGCGUGCUACGAAUUUCCAACAAAAGGGAUUGAUUCCUUCUCCUCAGACUCCAUUGCAGAUGAUGCACAAGGCUGAGAAAAAGUAUGAAGUGGGUAAAGUGGCAGAUGAAGAAGAGGCCAAACAAAGGCAGUUGAAAGCUAUCUUGAACAAGCUAACUCCGCAGAAUUUUGAAAAACUUUUUGAGCAAGUGAAAGCAGUUAACAUAGACAAUACUGCCACACUUACUGGUGUUAUCUCGCAGAUCUUUGACAAAGCUUUAAUGGAGCCUACUUUCUGUGAAAUGUAUGCCAACUUUUGCUAUCAUCUGGCUGGAGGAUUACCUGAUUUUACUAAAGAUAAUGAAAAGAUAACUUUCAAGAGGUUACUUCUUAACAAGUGCCAGGAGGAAUUUGAGAGAGGGGAGAGAGAGCAAGAAGAAGCUAAUAAAGCUGAUGUGGACGGUGAGACUAAACAGUCUGAAGAAGAAAGAGAAGAAAAAAGAAUUAAGGCACGAAGACGAAUGCUUGGCAAUAUAAGACUAAUUGGGGAGUUGUAUAAGAAGAAAAUGUUGACUGAGAGAAUAAUGCAUGAAUGCAUCAAAAAACUCCUGGGUCAGUAUCAGAAUCCUGAUGAGGAAGAUGUUGAGGCUUUAUGCAAACUAAUGAGCACAAUUGGAUAUAUGAUUGACCAUCCCAAAGCCAAGGAGCAUAUGGAUGCCUAUUUUGACACGAUGGCAAAGUUAUCAAACAACAUGAAACUAUCUUCGAGGGUAAGGUUUAUGUUAAGGGAUGCCAUUGAUCUGAGAAAGAACAAAUGGCAGCAGAGGAGGAAGGUUGAAGGGCCAAAAAAGAUUGAGGAAGUGCAUAGAGACGCUGCUCAAGAACGGCAGCAUCAAACUAGUAGGCUGUCUCGCAAUCCUAGCAUAAAUUCCUCUGCAAGAAAGGCACUUGGGGAUUUUGGGCCUAGAGGUUCGGCCAUGUUAUCUUCCCCAAAUGCUCAGAUGGGUGGUUUCCAUGGUUUGCCUGCCCAGGUUCGCGGGUAUGGGACCCAGGAUGUUCGUUUUGAGGAGAGGCAGCCAUAUGAGGCUAGGACUUUGUCAGUUCCCUUACCUCGGCCUCUUGGUGAUGAUUCAAUUACUUUGGGUCCCCAAGGUGGGCUUGCCAGAGGAAUGUCUAUUAGAGGGCUACCUGCAAUGGCAAGCACUCCUGUAGCUGAUCUCUCUGCUAGCUCAGGCGACUCGAGAAGAAUCGCCGCAGGUUUGAAUGGUUUUAGUACUGUGUCUGAGAGGCCAGCUUAUAGUCCAAGGGAGGAUUUUGUUGCAAGAUAUGCUCCUGAGAGAUUUGCAGUUCCAGCUGCUUUUGAUCAAAUGAGUGCUCAGGAACGAAAUAUGAGUUAUGUCAAUAGGGAUACUAGGAAUCAAGAUCGCAGUUUUGAUAGACCUCAUGCAACAUCUCCACCUGCAACAGCUCAGGUACCAGCUGUCACCCAAAAUAUUCCAUCAGAAAAGGUGUGGCCUGAAGAAAAACUACGAGACAAGUCAAUGGCAGCAAUUAAAGAAUUUUACAGUGUCAGAGACGAGAAAGAAGUUGCUUUGUGCAUCAAGGAAUUGAAUUCGUCAAGUUUCCAUCCUUCAAUGAUCUCUCUCUGGGUGACGGAUUCAUUUGAGAGGAAGGACAUGGAGAGAGAUCUUUUGGCUAAACUUCUUGUCAAUCUUGCAAGGUCUCAAGAUGGCAUAUUAACUCCACCCCAGCUCAUCAAAGGGUUUGAGUCAGUUCUCACCUCUUUGGAGGAUGCUGUUAAUGAUGCCCCAAAAGCAGCAGAAUUUCUUGGCCGCAUGUUUGCCAAAGUUGUAUUAGAAAAUUUAGUCCCUUUGACAGAAAUUGGGCAACUAUUACAUGAAGGUGGAGAGGAGCGAGGCCGUCUUCUUGAGGUUGGACUUGCAGGGGAUGUUCUUGGAAGUACAUUGGAGAUGAUAAAAGCAGAGAAAGGGGAGAGUGUCUUAAAUGAGAUUCGAAUUAGCUCCAAUUUGCAUCUGGAGGAUUUCCGGCCUUUGGAUCCUAACAGAUCAAGGAUAUUACAAAAAUUUAUUUAGAUGAUAGUGAAUGCUCAUUGUAUCUUUGUUAGAAAAGAAAUCCCAAUGUCUAGUGCAUCUAGGUUACCUAUAAAUAUUUUUCAACAUGGGUGGGUGGUUGGGGAUUUAUGUGGGGUUGUCAUCUCCAUGUCCUAAUAUUAUUCUUUAAAAUAUUCACUGCAAUUAUGAAAGGUUCAAUUGAGCAUCGGAAUUUUAGGACUUCAAAUCACUGGGGGGGAGGGGGAUAGGAUAUUGGAACAACCGUUUAUGUUAUCAUGUUAUCCGUGAUCAAUUAUUUUUCAUGAUUUUUAUGUCAAUGUAUUUAUGUUACCUAACCAAUUGAUGGUAUGCGAUUGUAGCUGCGGUCGCUUAUGGAUGGAAGGGUCAAUGGCUCCUGCUGAGAGAAGAUUGUUGCCAAGUAUGGUGCAUCAUGCGUUUCUUGUGAAACGUCUAGGAUUGCUAAUGCUGCUUUGGCAACUCCUUUUUGGACGUUCUGUGCUUGCUGCUGAGUGCUCU